UUUGUGGCCUCUUCCAUUUUCAGGAUGUGGCUGAAUCCUCCACAUCCUGAUCAGCAGCUGUCUAGGCCACGAUCUGUGUGGGCAGGCUUUGAGUCACUCUGUUUUGUGGUGAGGAUGCAUGUAAUUGAGGCAUGAGGUGAAGGGUGUAUGGUGUUUGAAGCCUUGUGGGGCACUUGAAUAGCAGCUGACAAAAAAAUUUUGAUCAUAAGCAGGUAGAUAAGAUGGAUUAGUCUUGGCUGGUCAUGUCUGCCCUUACAGAAGAUAAUUGAAACAAAAUUAAUAUUUUUUGCAGCUGUUGAUAGAGUUGGGAGGUUUUGCUCCUCAGCAUUUGCAUGCCUUUGACCCCAGAACCUGGAGGCAUCCGUGAAUCUUCACAGUGUCAAAGUAACAUCCAGUCAGGCUUUGCAUGGCAUGAGGCAGAAACAGGAUUUUCUAGCAUGGUGAGUACUUGUAGAAUCAACAGGCUGAUGAUUUCUAAUGACCAAGAAUUCAGGAGACACUGCAUCCUAAAUACGAGCAGAAGGGGGUCAGUAACCUGCCAAGUAAAUUCUCUUUCACCCCUACAUGUUUGAGAGGUGGCUUCAGGGAGGAAUUUAGGAAAGGCUCAUUGUGGAAUGACUUAAUGUGAGCUCUCAUGAGGAUGGAAAGGAGCACUACCAGGGGGAAGUUCACAAAUGGAGGUUGAAGGAGCUGUUUAAAAUUAUAAUACAGCUAGGGAUUUAAUGAUGAUGUUCAUGAGAAGACCUUGAGGGAUCAUGUAGCACAGGAUGUUUUUCCCUUUAGUACUCACUGAUUUCAAUUGUAAGCUCUUCUCUCUGUCAUUACUUUGCUCAAUGUAAACUUUUCCAGCCUCUUUGCCUUUUUUUUUUCUUUCCAGAGAAGACAGACCAGAAGUGUCUCUUUUUCCAGGUUUUAGUUUGCUGCUUU
RNAcentral lists this long non-coding RNA (927 nucleotides) under Zonotrichia albicollis (white-throated sparrow). RNAcentral's name for it is "lncRNA (ENSZALG00000013345.1)". The record is from RNAcentral. Lineage: Eukaryota; Metazoa; Chordata; Aves; Passeriformes; Passerellidae.